RNAcentral lists this transfer RNA (68 nucleotides) under Ischnura elegans. Its description in RNAcentral is "tRNA-Leu". The record is from RNAcentral. Lineage: Eukaryota; Metazoa; Arthropoda; Insecta; Odonata; Coenagrionidae.
AAAGAAACUGUGCAACCCAGUUUAGUUUGAAAAAACUUAUUUACUGUCUCUUUUUUAAUUUUUUAAAG